This 385-nucleotide ribosomal RNA is filed under the name uncultured bacterium. Its description in RNAcentral is "bacterial SSU rRNA". It matches the Rfam family "Bacterial small subunit ribosomal RNA", at positions 370 to 772 of the family's 1533-position model. The record is from RNAcentral.
AAUGGGCGCAAGCCUGAUCCAGCCAUGCCGCGUGAGUGAUGAAGGCCUUAGGGUUGUAAAGCUCUUUCGGCGGGGAAGAUAAUGACGGUACCCGCAGAAGAAGCCCCGGCUAACUUCGUGCCAGCAGCCGCGGUAAUACGAAGGGGGUUAGCGUUGCUCGGAAUCACUGGGCGUAAAGCGCACGUAGGCGGGUUGCUAAGUCAGGGGUGAAAUCCUGGAGCUCAACUCCAGAACUGCCUUUGAUACUGGCGACCUUGAGUCCGGGAGAGGUGAGUGGAACUGCGAGUGUAGAGGUGAAAUUCGUAGAUAUUCGCAAGAACACCAGUGGCGAAGGCGGCUCACUGGCCCGGUACUGACGCUGAGGUGCGAAAGCGUGGGGAGCAAA